RNAcentral lists this ribosomal RNA (469 nucleotides) under uncultured bacterium. Its description in RNAcentral is "partial 16S rRNA". The record is from RNAcentral.
GCACGUAGUUAGCCGGACCUUCUUCUGCAGGUACCGUCUGUUUUCUUCCCUGCUGAAAGCGGUUUACAACCCGAGGGCCUUCAUCCCGCACGCGGCGUUGCUGCUUCAGGCUUUCGCCCAUUGAGCAAGAUUCCCCACUGCUGCCUCCCGUAGGAGUCUGGGCCGUGUCUCAGUCCCAGUGUGGCUGAUCGUCCUCUCAGACCAGCUACCCGUCGAAGCCUUGGUGGGCCAUUACCCCGCCAACAAGCUGAUAGGCCGCGAGACCGUCCCGAUCCGUAACCUUUCUUCACCACGCCAUGCGAUGCGGUGAAGGCAUCCGGUGUUAGCAGGUGUUUCCACCUGUUAUCCCAGAGAUCGGGGUGGGUUUCUCACGUGUUACUCACCCGUUCGCCACUAGGUCUUCACCAGUGUUGCCACUGGAUGGACCUCGUUCGACUUGCAUGUGUUAGGCACGCCGCCAGCGUUCGUC